GACGAACGCUGGCGGCGUGCUUAACACAUGCAAGUCGAGCGGUAAGGCCCUUUCGGGGUACACGAGCGGCGAACGGGUGAGUAACACGUGGGUGACCUGCCCUCAGGCUCUGGGAUAAGCCUGGGAAACUGGGUCUAAUACCGGAUAUGACUCCAUGACGCAUGUUGUGGGGUGGAAAGCCUUGUGCGGCUGAGGAUGGGCCCNCGGCCUAUCAGCUUGUUGGUGGGGNGAUGGCCUACCAAGGCGACGACGGGUAGCCGG
This 261-nucleotide ribosomal RNA is filed under the name uncultured bacterium. RNAcentral's name for it is "partial 16S ribosomal RNA". It matches the Rfam family "Bacterial small subunit ribosomal RNA", at positions 28 to 290 of the family's 1533-position model. The record is from RNAcentral.